This 611-nucleotide long non-coding RNA is filed under the name Prunus persica (peach). RNAcentral describes it as "long non-coding RNA (PPER_LNC002184)". The record is from RNAcentral. Lineage: Eukaryota; Viridiplantae; Streptophyta; Magnoliopsida; Rosales; Rosaceae.
UUGGAUAUACCCAGCGUCCAACAACUGCUUUAAUUGCUUCCUCAAUUCCUCCAACUCAAGAGGUGCCAUCUGGUGCGGUGCUUUGGCAGGGGGUUUGGCACCCGGUUCCAACUUAAUGACAUGAUCCUCCUCUCUCCUAGGUGGUAAGGUUUUGGGCAGCUCUUUGGGCAUGACAUCUGCAAACUCCUUGAGGACUGCCUUCACAGCUUUCGGGACUGGCUAGACUUCCUUCUCAACUAAAUCCAUUUUCAUAAUUGCAAGGAACGUCGGUUCGCCCAUCUUCCAAGACUUGGAAAAUUGCAUGGCUGACAAAAGCUUCGUCUCGCCUUGUUGCCUCACCACUGGCACCAUGCAUGGCAUUGUUCCACACUGUGUAAUGCACAUAGUAUUGUACAAUGGAAUGGGAAAUGCCUUUACCUUGUCCAUGAAGUCCAUUCCUAGCCCGACAUCGUAGUCAUCCAUCGAGGUCACGGAGAAGUCAGCUACUCCCUUCCAAGUGGCAAUGUGUAGCUCCACACCACGAGCUACUCCAUCAACGAGCUACUCCUUUGAGACUCGACACCUAAGUCUCUUUGCUUCCUGUACGGACAUAAAGUUGUGCGAGGCACCCG